RNAcentral lists this ribosomal RNA (253 nucleotides) under uncultured bacterium. RNAcentral's name for it is "partial 16S ribosomal RNA". It matches the Rfam family "Bacterial small subunit ribosomal RNA", at positions 524 to 776 of the family's 1533-position model. The record is from RNAcentral.
UACGUAGGGUGCGAGCGUUGUCCGGAAUUAUUGGGCGUAAAGAGCUCGUAGGCGGCCUGUCGCGUCGGAUGUGAAAGCCCGGGGCUUAACCCCGGGUCUGCAUUCGAUACGGGCAGGCUAGAGUGUGGUAGGGGAGAUCGGAAUUCCUGGUGUAGCGGUGAAAUGCGCAGAUAUCAGGAGGAACACCGGUGGCGAAGGCGGAUCUCUGGGACGGUACUGACGCUGAGACGCGAAAGCGUGGGGAGCGAACAGG